GACGAACGCUGGCGGCGUGCUUAACACAUGCAAGUCGAACGGAAAGGCCCUGCUUUUGUGGGGUGCUCGAGUGGCGAACGGGUGAGUAACACGUGAGUAACCUGCCCUUGACUUUGGGAUAACUUCAGGAAACUGGGGCUAAUACCGGAUAGGAGCUCCUGCUGCAUGGUGGGGGUUGGAAAGUUUCGGCGGUUGGGGGUGGACUCGCGGCUUAUCAGCUUGUUGGUGGGGUAGUGGCUUACCAAGGCUUUGACGGGUAGCCGGCCUGAGAGGGUGACCGGCCUCAUUGGGACUGAGAUACGGCCCAGACUCCUACGGGAGGCAGCAGUGGGGAAUAUUGCACAAUGGGCGGAAGCCUGAUGCAGCAACGCCGCGUGCGGGAUGACGGCCUUCGGGUUGUAAACCGCUUUCGCCUGUGACGAAGCGUGAGUGACGGUAAUGGGUAAAGAAGCACCGGCUAACUACGUG
This 468-nucleotide ribosomal RNA is filed under the name uncultured bacterium. RNAcentral describes it as "partial 16S ribosomal RNA". It matches the Rfam family "Bacterial small subunit ribosomal RNA", at positions 28 to 507 of the family's 1533-position model. The record is from RNAcentral.